GAUGAAGAAACGUAGUGAAAUGCGAUAAGUAAUGUGAAUUGCAGAAUUCAGUGAAUCAUCGAAUCUUUGAACGCACAUUGCGCCCGCCAGUAUUCUGGCGGGCAUGCCUGUCCGAGCGUCAUUUCAACCCUCGAACCCCUCCGGGGGGUCGGCGUUGGGGAUCGGCCCUUUACGGGGCCGGCCCCGAAAUACAGUGGCGGUCUCGCCGCAGCCUCUCCUGCGCAGUAGUUUGCACACUCGCAUCGGGAGCGCGGCGCGUCCACAGCCGUUAAACACCCCAAACUUCUGAAAUGUUGACCUCGGAUCAGGUAGGAAUACCCGCUGAACUUAAGCAUAUCAAUAAGCGGAGGA
RNAcentral lists this unclassified non-coding RNA (351 nucleotides) under soil metagenome. RNAcentral describes it as "partial contains 5.8S ribosomal RNA, internal transcribed spacer 2, and large subunit ribosomal RNA". The stretch from base 1 to 121 matches the Rfam family "5.8S ribosomal RNA", at positions 35 to 154 of the family's 154-position model. The record is from RNAcentral.